UCGAGACGAGUGAAGCGGCAACAGCUCAAAUUUGAAAUCUGGCCCCAGGCCCGAGUUGUAAUUUGCAGAGGAUGCUUUUGGCGCGGUGCCUUCCGAGUUCCCUGGAACGGGACGCCAUAGAGGGUGAGAGCCCCGUACGGUUGGACACCAAGCCUUUGUAAAGCUCCUUCGACGAGUCGAGUAGUUUGGGAAUGCUGCUCUAAAUGGGAGGUACAUUUCUUCUAAAGCUAAAUAUUGGCCAGAGACCGAUAGCGCACAAGUAGAGUGAUCGAAAGAUGAAAAGCACUUUGAAAAGAGGGUUAAACAGCACGUGAAAUUGUUAAAAGGGAAGCGCUUGUGACCAGACUUGCGUCCGGUGAAUCACCCAGCUCUCGCGGCUGGGGCACUUCGCCGGCACAGGCCAGCAUCAGCUUGCCGUCGGGGACAAAAGCUUCAGGAACGUGGCUCCUCUCGGGGAGUGUUAUAGCCUGUUGUAUAAUACCCUUCGGCGGGCUGAGGUACGCGCUCCGCAAGGAUGCUGGCGUAAUGGUCAUCAGCGACCCGUCUUGAAACCACGGACCAAAU
Molecule: ribosomal RNA, 564 nt
Filed under: Colletotrichum fioriniae
Lineage: Eukaryota; Fungi; Ascomycota; Sordariomycetes; Glomerellales; Glomerellaceae
Description: partial large subunit ribosomal RNA
Rfam family: Eukaryotic large subunit ribosomal RNA
Source: RNAcentral